Molecule: long non-coding RNA, 793 nt
Filed under: Marmota monax (woodchuck)
Lineage: Eukaryota; Metazoa; Chordata; Mammalia; Rodentia; Sciuridae
Source: RNAcentral
CAACAAUGAAUUGAAAUAAAGACAAAAUUUAGGAAAAAGAAAAAAAUCCAUAUACAAAUUCAUAUAACCCUGGACUCUUUCAUAUGCUAAGCCUGGCUCAACUCCUGUGUUGUGGUGGAUUGUGGAUGAGUCCUGUGGAAGACCCUACAUUGCCCUGAGGCUAGUAAUAGCCAAUAAAUAUUGGAAAUGAAGCUUUUAGCACUUCUUUUCUGAUAUUGAGUUGAGAUACUAUUUCCCUAUAUUAUUACUGAGACAAAUGGCUUAGCUAUGGUCCUUUUCUUUGUCUUGAGGGAAGGAAAAACUGUUGUAGUUGUUUUGAGACCUUACUUAAAAAGAAUGAAAAGUUCCACCUACUCUUUCUCCUAGAGGUCACCUUCUGGCACUGCCUGGUUCCCAGAGUAAUUAACGUUGACUUUUUAUGAGUAGGAUUAAGUCCUUCUUCACAUCGUGGUUACUGAAGACUCAUUUUGUCACUCACUAUUCACAUUUACAUCUGCCCUUUUCUACACUUGUAUCAGCAACAAUAAAAACAGCUCUCCUGUGUUGUAUCUAGUAGGUGUUUGCCACUCUAUGGAGAACUUUACAGUAUUAUCUUCUCUGAUUCCCCCAGAAAUCUCAUGAGGUGGUUCAUUUUGCAGCUGAGGUAUCUUCAUGUUACAGAUGAAGAAAUUGGAAUCCAGAAAUUGAGUGGCAGAGUUUAGCCCCGGAAUCCUGUGUUCUCCGUCCUUGAAUUCUUUAUUUCAUUAUAUUAUUUCUUAAUACUGAUUUACCACAGGGAAAAACAUAACCUCUC